AGGCCGAGGCUUUCCCGGAUUCCUUUCCGGCAUGCAUGCAAGGCACAUGAGGAUGAUUACCAUCACAAAAAUAUUCAUUUCCAACAGCAAGGAAAUCACUAAAAUGCUUCCAUGCAUACGAUCAUAUCACAUGAAAUAACAAGUCCUCCGAAAUAAGGUGGUGUGAUAAACGUGUCAAAUAACACACCAAAAACAUUAUGCCAGGGUUCAGAAUGCUUGCCUUCAAGUUGUGGAGGGGUAAGGUGCUCUCCAAAACUUUUGAAAGUUUCUUCUCUCUCUCCAAAAUCCUAUUUUAAAAUAUAUUUGAAUUAACACACAUUUCAAAAACAGUACAAAAAGUUGUUUGGAAAAUUUUGAAAUAAAUCUUAAAAUAAACUAGACCAAAUUUGAGGAAGGUAGGAAAAAGAAUCAAUUCAUUUGGAGUUGUAUUUAAAAAGUUAUAGGUAGUGAAAGUUCUGGUCAAAAUCUGGUAUUUGAAAUAAAACAGAAAAGAAAACGUUUCGAAUGGCAUUACGCUUUCGCCCAGAGGAGACGUACUUGUGCCUUUACGCCUCCACUUACCCAGCAUGGGCGGCGCGUGUGUCACUGACAGUGGGCCCGCCUGGCCCACUGGUCAGGUUUGACCAAUCGCCCGCGUCGUCUCCCUCCUCUGCCCGAGUGGAGCGGGGCUCCGGCGAUCAUCGCCGGCGAACGGUGGCUCCGUUCGGAAAGCUGAGGCCACCAGCGGACUCAGGGGGCCGAGGUGGUCACUCCGGUAGUCGUAGGGUCAUCGGAAGUGGAGGAAAUCGCCGGCGGCGAGCUCCGCAGCGGAGGGAAGCUUCGGGAGCAAGGUGGAUUUGGGGCUACGGUGGUUCCCGAUCAAGAUUGAGUAGGGGGAUGGGUUCACAGGAGGAUGAGGAAGUUUCUGGCAAAGAGAAUGGAGAGGGGGAGGCCCUGGUGGUGCCGGAAUGGCCGGGGCGGUGGCGGCGGUUGCCGGAGAUGAGGAAGGAGGCCUCCCCGGGUCGAUUGGCUGGCAAUGGGGGUCCUCGGGAGGUGGCUUGGGAUUGCCUGCGUGCGGAGAUGAGCUCGGGGCUCCUUAAAUAAGCGAGUCGAGGCGGUUCAGCGGCGGCCGCGGAUGAGCUCGCGCUGUUCUAGGGGCCAGGUGGCGAGCAGGAGGGGCUUGGGCGGCGCUGCCCGUGGCUGGAGCCGCUGCGGACGCCGGGGUGCCGCCAAAAUGCCCUGGCAGCGGCGCUGUAGCGUGCCAGGGUGGCUUGGCGCGUUGCUGCGCGGCGGGGAGUGCGUGGCGAGGUGCUGCCGAGUGGGCCAAAGCCAGGGGGCCAGCGUGUCGGCUCGGGCACGGCAUCGUGCAAUACGGGCGCUCUGGGCGCGUCCAGUGCACGCACGGGAGAUGUUCGACACAAUGCCGCGGCAUGCUACAGGUCGCAGGUGAGGUUGGGGUUUACCAGAUCGAGGUUAGGAGCAACUGGGAGUCUAGUGGACAGGUUAGUUUGAUCCAAGGUGCAAGCUCACAGUGCAAUGCCAAAAUUCAUGUCAAAACUGGUCAUGCCUACAGGGUGCUCGAUAGAAUGCCACAUGCACCUAGGCAACUCUUGGGGUGGCCAAAACUUCCAGAUUGGGGUCUCUUUAGAUGGACAAGAGGGUGCUGAGGUUAGUUUGGCAGAAGGAGAAACUUGUUAGUGCAAGUUUUCCAACACUUCAAUUCUGGACAGGAAAUAAAUGGCAUUAUUUCAUGAACCAAAAAUGAUCCAAAGGGUGCAUGUUCCUGGACUUAAGGGUUUAACAUGGAGGACUACAGGUAGGAGAAAGAAUCAAGGGUUAAAGAGCAAACAAAAAUAUGGUUGCUGCACAAACCAUCAAGUUGGUCCAGAAUGAAAAUGAGGUUGAUUCACUCAAAUUUUUCAAAGAACAGCACUAGGUUUUUCCAAAAUGUUGAAUCAUAUGUUACUACUAACAUCCAAAAAUUUUGGUGGAGGCUAGAAGAAAAUAUUUAAAUGAGUUGUAGUGCAAAAUUACCCACUGGACCAGAGAAGAAAAAAGGGGUGUAGAGCUCAAAAUAUUUCAUAGAAUAAAGAUGUUUUUAUACAAAGGUGAUUUAAAAACAUCACAUGACAUCUCCAAAUUUUGGUUGAAAAUUUAAGUGAAUUUAUCAAAUGGUUGUAGUUCAAAUAUGGCCAUUUAACCUUGAAAAUCCAUUUUCAAGAAAGUAAAGAUCAAGCAACUUAAUUAUUUAAUUAGUUAUAUUAAAUAAGGAAAAGUUUUUCUUGAGAGAUUAAAUAAGCCCAAUAGCAUAUUUGAAAGAGUUUCACUUAGGGAAAACUCAUCACCAAUAGGGAGGAAAUGAUUUAAAAAUCAAAAAGGAGCUCAGAAAUCCAAAGUUUUAAAUUCAUGGCAAAAUUUUAAUUCAUUAAAAUAAGGUCAAAAUUUUGGGGUGUCACAACACUACCCCCCUUCAGAAAAAUCUCGUCCUCGAGAUUUGAUAAAAGCUGUUUUAAGAAAAACUAUAAGCAGAAAAAUGUGGCUACAGUGAGAGGGCAAUAAGUGGUGUAAAACCACCGUGUGGAUACUGGUGCUGCGUGAGAAAUCUACGGUUCGGGACAAAACGUGAGAUUUUUACGCUGGAUAUAAAUUUAGAAUAACUUCUAAAUUUAAAUAUACGCUAGUCGUACCCGAGAGCACAAUGCUCUCCCUGGCCGACAGGUGGACCCGAGGCCCACUGUCAGCCUCUUCUUCUCCCUCUGGUUCUCUCUUCUUCCUCUCUCUCGUGCGCUUCCCCGCGCUUUCUCCACCGGCGACGUUUAGCGCGUAGGGUAUCUAGGCCGUACCGCGGUAGUGCGCGGCGUGCUAGCUGCCGGUGCAGCGUGCACUCACCUCGCGGGCCAGCGUGCUAUCGGCACUGCUUGCGGAUUCGACUCCGAACACCGGCGGUCGUUGACGAGCGGCGUUGGUGGACUUCGCCCACCGUACACCGAGCUCGAGCUAUAAAAUGGCCGGGGUGUUCUCCUCUCUUCUUCCUCACACCUGGCCUCACUUCUCCUCCUCCUUCUUCCAUUACUGCUUACAGAAGCUCGGGUGAGGCUCUGAUGGCGGAGGCGAUGCCGGACUGGUUUGCGAUCCUGAUAUUCGGAGGGCUGGCGACACUACUGGGGCUCUCCGUGCUCUUGUGCGCGAUGAUCCUCGACGAUCGUCGCGACGCUGCUGCUCGGGUGUUGGCUCUCUGCGGUGGUGGUGAUCACGAGGAGUAGAUGGGGUGUGCUAGGUGCUAACCGUUGUUAGGGGGUGAUUAGCUGGAUGCAACACCAUUGCAAAGUUUUGCAAACAGUGUAUGUGCUCGAAUGAUUAUGGUUGUGAGUUGCUGCUGUGGUGCUGUGUGAAAUUAAUAAAUCCACGCCGCGAGAAAGUGUAGAUGUGGCAACUCAGAAAAAGGAAAUCUCACUCCAGGAUUUUGCGAGAAAAGCAGUUAAUUUAAAAGAGCAUAAACCACAACAAAAACUACAUCCAUUAGUAGAAGCCAAUUAAUUAACUAGUCGUACAAACUCAGGGCAUUACGCAUAAGUCACACACAUAAAUAAGUGUUGUAAUAGUGAACACCGCAGCAACGUCUAAAAUGGAAACGGUAAUUGGACGGGGUCCCUAGAAAAUGUCUCUGGUACUGGGAUACACUCCUCUUCUAUCGGAGAAAGUGGAUUGACCAGUCGAUGCACAUGUCUCUCCCGGUCGGGCCUUAGUGCUCUGCCUAUGGCGAUUUGAGGAUUUAAAUCUGCGAGGCUCUGGAGAUAACCCAUCACACGUUGGGUUAAACGCUCUUGAGCGAUGACGUACUGGACAAGGUUGCCCAGGACUGGGUCUCUCUCAAUUCGUCCUCCGGGAAAAGAUGUCACUCCUCCGGGUUCUGCACGGCUCGGAAAGUAAUAAUACCCUCGUUCGCUGGCAUAGGGUACCGCGAAUCGAAGGCGAGCAAGCGCUUCAUAUGCAGCAGCUUCCACGGCCAUCUGUGGGGUUGGCAUAGAUUUCCCCACGAAGGAGACCUCUGUGGGGUCUUGGUUUGAGUUUACGGGAGGGAUGUGCACUGCUGCCCAAUAUCUUGAGGUGGAAGAGGUGAUCCUCGAUUUGAACAGCUCGUACUGGGGUGGCUGGGUAGCGCCCAUGGUACUGCAGGUAAAAUCCCACAAUAUCUUGACAAAACUACACGGGGUUGCAUCUGGGGUUCUCAGGUAAAUGCUGGGGCUCGGCAUGGCAAGAGAUGGUUGUGAGGAUGGUGCACAAGAUGAGGGGUGCUUGGCAAGGUCACGCGGUGGCCUUUUAUAGCACUGGAGCUGGGUCAUUUUUACCGUGGUGAAUGGUAAAGAAAAUUUUCAGCUCUGUUCCAAGGGUCGAGGUCAAGCCACAGAUUCACACAUUUCACUAUAGUGAUGUGUUACUGUGGGGGUUGACGGGGUGAUUUUUGGUAACUGUGUCCGGGAUAGAAAUCUUAUACUGCAUACUGGCGUAUCCAGACAAGGAUACUAUUUAAAACAGAGGCACGACAACAGGCGGCGUUUAAAAACAAGGCCACAUGAUUACAAAGCAAGGGUACACUGGGAGUUGAUACGGUUUGGGUGACUUAGUCUACCUCGUUUACAUCCAAGCGGGCGUGCCUUGAGGCUCCUCCACGGAUCUCGUCGUCUGAAUUAACUGGAGUGGUCUGAGGGGCUGCAGGCCCGGGGUAGCGAUGAUGACCAUCUCGGGGAUUGCUGGCCACAACCCCGUUGAAGUGUGCUUCCAAUAUGCGGCGAAGCACUUCUGGGGUUAUCGCGGCACCUUGGCCGAUGGCUGGGGCAGAUCUCCGGGGCUCGAUCGGGUGUCCAAACAGCACGACUGGGUUGUUGAUGUUGGGCUCGUUCUCUUCUCUCGCCGGGGUUCGACGAACCAGCUCUCCACGAGCUGCGAUUAGAUCAAUCGUGAUUUGAUCGCAUAGUUCCUCUAGUGCACUUACAUAGCGCACUAGGUGCAACAAUGCAGGAUCUGUCUCGUGAUCUCCGUUGACAACUUGGGGUGGUCUACCAUACCCUUCACGUCUGGGGUAGUAGUGGAACGAGCGACAGUUAACUCUGGGCGACAAGUGUCGGAGAUGAACUAUAGCUUCUCGAGGAGCUAGUUGGAUGGCUUGUGGCUCAAAGGAAGUUGUCCUUCCGGUGAACCUGUAGGGGCACUCGGGCUCUAGUCCCCUAGCAUAAAUGUGCACAGUGGCCCAGAAUUGACGGCUCUCGCCGCUCAUGGGUCCUUGGUACACAACAUAUUCUGGGGGCUCUUCUAACGCAUAGGCACGACGGGUGAGGUUUGCGAGUAUGGUCACAAAGCCUCCAAGGUUGGUUGCUGUGGUCUCAUUGUGCACGACGGGUCCAGGCAUUGUGGCUCGGUUUGGGGUAGCGGCUGCUGUGCUGGGUUGGGGCUAGCGUGCCCUUUUUAUAGGAAAAAGGGGACGGAGUCUUCCUCCACACGCUUGCGAAAAAGGACUAUUUAGGACUCGGUCACUGGUGCAUGAUUGACGGGUUAGAUGGAUAGGUUGGGCACCGACUGCCGAUAAGGGUGUCGGGUCACGGUGUGGCUAUCUUGCUAGGGAAGCUUGACUGGGGUUUGGUCAAAGUUUGGUGGGCUGGUUUAGUUAGGUUUAUUGACCUGGCUAAGAUAGGAUUAGCCAAUGGUCAGCCUGGCUCUGAUACCAAGUCUGUCACAACCGGUUUUCCGGACAUAAAUUUCCAGAAAAUGGCCGUUUUGCUCACCAGCCCCAGGAUUACUGUUACCUGAUGAGGCACCAACUUGUUACAGAAAUUCCAAGCAAAAGUACAAAAUGUGUAGUACAAGACCAUUGUGGCCUGUGAGUACAUCAAAUGGUUUUCUAGUGGGCGAUGGCGGAAGCGGUUUGUGAAUCAUCAGUGUAUGGGACUCCAUUUCCCACGGGAACAGCUGACCAGGUUAACUCUAUCUUCGCGAGGCUGCUAUCACUGUUGCUUAGUUUCCGGGGCUGUCACCGCAACGUUCCUCUCCAAGCAAAUAUCUGGCCAAGACAAUAGCGAGGGACAAGCCAGUGAGUACUUUGAAUGUACUCGCAAACAUCAAGAACACUGGAAUAAUGUAAUUGAUAAUUAUGCACUUAAAUAUUCUAUGAUCAUAUCGUUAGUCAUAAAUGAAAUAUCUUUUAAGCAUGCAAACGGGUUAUUAAUAUGCAACAUGAAUAAGAAAUAAUGGAGUGGAAAUAAAAUGCCUGUGUUAGCGACACCACAAAAAGGGCCUUAAAAGAAAUGCCACAGUCGGACGUCUGAGCGACAUCACGGAAAGGGCUUUAAAAGAAAUGCCACAGUCGGACGUCUGAGCGACAUCACAGAAAGGGCUUUAAAAGAAAUGCCACAGUCGGACGUCUGAGCGACAUCAUAGAAAGGGCUUUAAAAGAAAUGCCACAGUCGGACGUCUGAGCGACAUCACAGAAAGGGCUUUAAAAGAAAUACCACNNNNNNNNNNNNNNNNNNNNNNNNNNNNNNNNNNNNNNNNNNNNNNNNNNNNNNNNNNNNNNNNNNNNNNNNNNNNNNNNNNNNNNNNNNNNNNNNNNNNNNNNNNNNNNNNNNNNNNNNNNNNNNNNNNNNNNNNNNNNNNNNNNNNNNNNNNNNNNNAGAAAUACCACAGUCGGACGUCUGAGUGACAUCACAGAAAGGGCUUUUAAAAGAAAUGCCACAGUCGGACGUCUGAGCGACAUCACAGAAAGGGCUUUAAAAGAAAUACCACAGUCGGACGUCUGAGCGACAUCACAGAAAGGGCUUUUAUUCACAAGUAAAUAAUACUCAUAAUAAAUAUUCAGUUCAUGAUAAUAAACGGGUUAGUCCAUCCACAGGAAUGAACAUUUAACCGGGCUUAGAAAUAAAUAAUCACAAUGAAUAUCCAGGGGGUAGAACCAUCCCAAGGGAUACUCGAUAAUACAAAUAAUACAACAGGUUAGUCCAUCAUAAAAUAAUAAUCAUGGUCCUCACAAGUCACCGAUCAGUAUCCAAGUUUGGUUUCACCUCCGAAGACCGACACUAAGACCAACACUUGACCCAUCCCAGACUGUAAUCCUUAACCAUGGACACGGCUAUUCGAAUAGGUUUAAUCUUUGCAGAGGGUGUACUCUUUACCCACGAGUAACGGAUUCCUUUAGUCCAUCGGGACUAAUUCCAUCUACGGCCUUUUAGUUGAAAACACGCCUAGCUUGCACACACCAGCUUAACUCAUCGGUGUAUGGAAUCACCCACGACACUUGUUAAGCCAAACUCUAAGUGGGGACGCUACAACCUCGCGUAGCAUGGGAUCAAAUUUAUAUCGCGCGCUCUAAGGGGUGGCCUCCCCUCUCGGUCCCAACCGGAAACACCCAUGCCCCCGGACCAGGUGGCCUGCCUACCGGCUACAACCGAUAUCUUCCACCAUGGCCUCUCUGUACGGUGUGUGCAGGAAAGGGGUUGACGACUUACUGAACCGUACCCUACCUGCGGCAGGGACGAGUGGUAGUACGAGGCAAGUAUGGGGGUUACUGGAACAAGACUCGGUCUACGGUCGACUUAGGAGGUUUAUAAGUUCCCUGCAUGACAUGUAACAAAUAUAUUUCAAUCAAUAAAAUCACCACUCAAUAUACCUUACCAUGCCUUACCGGACAUAACCGUCCCGACGGGGACCGGUGACAAGCUCACGCCUACCCAAGGCCGAGGCUUUCCCGGAUUCCUUUCCGGCAUGCAUGCAAGGCACAUGAGGAUGAUUACCAUCACAAAAAUAUUCAUUUCCAACAGCAAGGAAAUCACUAAAAUGCUUCCAUGCAUAUGAUCAUAUCACAUGAAAUAACAAGUCCUCCGAAAUAAGGUGGUGUGAUAAACGUGUCAAAUAACACAACAAAAACAUUAUGCCAGGGUUCAGAAUGCUUGCCUUCAAGUUGUGGAGGGGUAAGGUGCUCUCCAAAACUUUUGAAAGUUUCUUCUCUCUCUCCAAAAUCCUAUUUUAAAAUAUAUUUGAAUUAACACACAUUUCAAAAACAGUACAAAAAGUUGUUUGGACAAUUUUGAAAUAAAUCUUAAAAUAAACUAGACCAAAUUUGAGGAAGGUAGGAAAAAGAAUCAAUUCAUUUGGAGUUGUAUUUAAAAAGUUAUAGGUAGUCAAAGUUCUGGUCAAAA
RNAcentral lists this long non-coding RNA (8165 nucleotides) under Triticum aestivum (bread wheat). Its description in RNAcentral is "long non-coding RNA (TAES_LNC021664)". The record is from RNAcentral. Lineage: Eukaryota; Viridiplantae; Streptophyta; Magnoliopsida; Poales; Poaceae.